Molecule: ribosomal RNA, 467 nt
Filed under: uncultured bacterium
Lineage: Bacteria
Description: partial 16S ribosomal RNA
Rfam family: Bacterial small subunit ribosomal RNA
Source: RNAcentral
GGCCAGACUCCUACGGGAGGCAGCAGUGAGGAAUAUUGGUCAAUGGCCGGAAGGCUGAACCAGCCAAGCCGCGUGAGGGAGGAAGGCGCAGAGCGUCGCAGACCUCUUUUGCCGGGGGACAAAAGGCCGGACUCGUCCGGUCCUGAGGGUACCCGGAGAAAAAGCAUCGGCUAACUCCGUGCCAGCAGCCGCGGUAAUACGGAGGAUGCGAGCGUUAUCCGGAUUUAUUGGGUUUAAAGGGUGCGCAGGCGGCGUGUCAAGUCAGCGGUAAAAUGUCGGGGCUCAACCCCGGCCGGCCGUUGAAACUGGCAUGCUCGAGUUGGAGAGAAGUAUGCGGAAUUCGUGGUGUAGCGGUGAAAUGCAUAGAUAUCACGAAGAACCCCGAUUGCGAAGGCAGCAUACCGGCGCCACACUGACGCUGAGGCACGAAAGCGUGGGUAUCGAACAGGAUUAGAUACCCCGGUAGG